RNAcentral lists this ribosomal RNA (468 nucleotides) under uncultured bacterium. RNAcentral describes it as "partial 16S ribosomal RNA". It matches the Rfam family "Bacterial small subunit ribosomal RNA", at positions 28 to 507 of the family's 1533-position model. The record is from RNAcentral.
GAUGAACGCUGGCGGCGUGCUUAACACAUGCAAGUCGAACGGAAAGGCCCAAGCUUGCUUGGGUACUCGAGUGGCGAACGGGUGAGUAACACGUGGGUGAUCUGCCCUGCACUUCGGGAUAAGCCUUGGAAACUGGGUCUAAUACCGGAUAGGACGAUGUUUUGGAUGCCAUUGUGGAAAGCUUUUUCGGUGUGGGAUGAGGUCGCGGCCUAUCAGCUUGUUGGUGGGGUAAUGGCCUACCAAGGCUUCGACGGGUAGCAGGCCUGAGAGGGUGGACGGCCAGAUUAGAAUCGAGAGACAGGCAGGAGUGGGGAAUGAGGCAGCAGGGGGGAAUAUUGGACAAAGCGAGGCAGCGUGAGGGAGGAAGGCCGUGUGGUGGAAGACGGCCUUUGGGUGGUAAGAACCUUUCGCUACGGACGAAGCGGGUUUGUGACGGUACCUGAAGAAGAAGCACCGGCUAACUACGUG